This 1054-nucleotide ribosomal RNA is filed under the name Montagnula thailandica. Its description in RNAcentral is "SSU rRNA". It matches the Rfam family "Eukaryotic small subunit ribosomal RNA", at positions 57 to 1121 of the family's 1831-position model. The record is from RNAcentral. Lineage: Eukaryota; Fungi; Ascomycota; Dothideomycetes; Pleosporales; Didymosphaeriaceae.
GUCUAAGUAUAAGCAAUUAUACCGUGAAACUGCGAAUGGCUCAUUAAAUCAGUUAUCGUUUAUUUGAUAGUACCUUACUACUUGGAUAACCGUGGUAAUUCUAGAGCUAAUACAUGCUAAAAACCCCAACUUCGGGAGGGGUGUAUUUAUUAGAUAAAAAACCAAUGCCCUUCGGGGCUCCUUGGUGAUUCAUGAUAACUUCUCAGAUCGCAUAGCCUUGAGCUGGCGACGGUUCAUUCAAAUUUCUGCCCUAUCAACUUUCGAUGGUAAGGUAGUGGCUUACCAUGGUUGCAACGGGUAACGGGGAAUUAGGGUUCGAUUCCGGAGAGGGAGCCUGAGAAACGGCUACCACAUCCAAGGAAGGCAGCAGGCGCGCAAAUUACCCAAUUCCGAUACGGAGAGGUAGUGACAAUAAAUACUGAUACAGGGCUCUUUUGGGUCUUGUAAUUGGAAUGAGUACAAUUUAAACCUCUUAACGAGGAACAAUUGGAGGGCAAGUCUGGUGCCAGCAGCCGCGGUAAUUCCAGCUCCAAUAGCGUAUAUUAAAGUUGUUGCAGUUAAAAAGCUCGUAGUUGAACCUUUGGCCUGGCUGGCAGGUCCGCCUCACCGCGUGCACUUGUCCGGCCGGGCCUUUUCUUCUGGAGAACCGCAUGCCCUUCACUGGGUGUGUUGGGGACCAGGACUUUUACUUUGAAAAAAUUAGAGUGUUCAAAGCAGGCCUUUGCUCGAAUACGUUAGCAUGGAAUAAUAGAAUAGGACGUGCGGUCCUAUUUUGUUGGUUUCUAGGACCGCCGUAAUGAUUAAUAGGGACAGUUGGGGGCAUCAGUAUUCAAUUGUCAGAGGUGAAAUUCUUGGAUUUAUUGAAGACUAACUACUGCGAAAGCAUUUGCCAAAGAUGUUUUCAUUAAUCAGUGAACGAAAGUUAGGGGAUCGAAGACGAUCAGAUACCGUCGUAGUCUUAACCAUAAACUAUGCCGACUAGGGAUCGGGCGGUGUUUCUAAUGUGACCCGCUCGGCACCUUACGAGAAAUCAAAGUGUUUGGGUUCUGGGGGG